This 275-nucleotide small RNA is filed under the name marine eukaryotic metagenome. RNAcentral's name for it is "5' ureB small RNA". It matches the Rfam family "5' ureB small RNA". The record is from RNAcentral.
AUUUGUUGAGGACAAAUAAAGUGGAUAUGGGCAUCCACGCCGCCGGGAGUCAAAAUCAAACCCUCUCCUGCUAUGACUUCAGUGCCAGGCCCAAUAAUGACCGAAACGUUAUCCUGAAUAUCUGGAUUACCCGCUUUCCCUAUGGCAGCGAUUCUUCCGUGAUUUAUGCCGACAUCCGCCUUAACAAUACCCCAAUGAUCUAAAAUCAGAGCAUUUGUUAUCACAACAUCAACAGACUCACUGCAACUUUGUUGGCUUUGCCCCAUGCCAUCUCG